CGAAGCAUAGCAUAUAUAAUGCUUUUUACUUACACUAAAAAUAAAACAGUUUGUUUGCUCCGCAU
This 65-nucleotide transfer RNA is filed under the name Scherotheca savignyi. RNAcentral's name for it is "tRNA-Val". The record is from RNAcentral. Lineage: Eukaryota; Metazoa; Annelida; Clitellata; Crassiclitellata; Lumbricidae.